RNAcentral lists this ribosomal RNA (288 nucleotides) under Harmonia quadripunctata (cream-streaked ladybird beetle). Its description in RNAcentral is "partial 28S ribosomal RNA". It matches the Rfam family "Eukaryotic large subunit ribosomal RNA", at positions 663 to 919 of the family's 3401-position model. The record is from RNAcentral. Lineage: Eukaryota; Metazoa; Arthropoda; Insecta; Coleoptera; Coccinellidae.
GGACCAAGGAGUCUAGCGUGUGCGCGAGUCAUUGGGAAUAACUAAACCUAAAGGCGCAAUGAAAGUAACGGUUCGCUUCAUGUGAACUAAGGGAAGAUGGUCGGUCUCCAUGACUGACCCGCAUUCCCGGGGCGCCUCAUUCUCAUUGCGAGAGGAGGCGCACCAAGAGCGUACACGCUGGGACCCGAAAGAUGGUGAACUAUGCCUGGUCAGGACGAAGUCAGGGGAAACCCUGAUGGAGGUCCGUAGCGAUUCUGACGUGCAAAUCGAUCGUCGGAACUGGGUAUA